Long non-coding RNA from Penaeus indicus, 535 nucleotides. RefSeq lists it as uncharacterized. The transcript has 4 exons. The record is from RefSeq and is a predicted model, not a curated record. Lineage: Eukaryota; Metazoa; Arthropoda; Malacostraca; Decapoda; Penaeidae.
GCUGAGAGCUUUUCUUGCGAGUGUGCAGGGAGGGACUUUCUAUUUCCAAGCAAGACUAUGGCUGGGCAGCUCACCUGUACCCUCCACACUGACGUUUUAGAUUGGUUGUGUUUUCCUCCACGUCGUCGUCGUCGUCCUCUUCCUCCAUUCCUGAACAUUCUUUAGGAGAGGUAGAUGCCAAGCAUUCCUAGUGAAAGCAUCCCAGACUACAAGGCUCCAAAAUACAAGAGUGGAACAAGAAACUUCUGCAGUUGGUGAGCAAUCAUACUGUGCUUUUCACCGCCAACGAGGACAUUCCACCCGUGACUGCCGAGCGAAACCAAAAGGAUAGCCAGGCCAGACAGCGAGCCUGGACUGAACCUUACGUCAAAAUUUCGGGAGCAGUUCUUUGGGAGGCCGAUGAGAAGUUGCAAAGCUGGUAGACCCAUGAUUCAUCUACAUGUGAAAGGCGUCAAGUUAAGGUGCCUGAUAGACACAGAAACAUUACCUUAAACCAAGUAGGAAGCUCUUGGGAGUGUCUGGAACCAAUUUGGAU